This 1653-nucleotide long non-coding RNA is filed under the name Homo sapiens (human). RNAcentral describes it as "non-protein coding lnc-PTDSS1-1:3". The record is from RNAcentral. Lineage: Eukaryota; Metazoa; Chordata; Mammalia; Primates; Hominidae.
GACGACUGCCGUUCAGCACCUGCGUAAGCACCUCUCGGCCAGGGUGAGGCCAAUGGAGUAGGCGGGGCAUUUUGCGUGCUACAUUCUAAGAAGUAUUGGUUGUGAUGUGAUGGGAAGAACACAGUCAGUCCUGUAUACAGCACUAAAGCUGAUGAAUGAUCUAUCUUACACUAGCCAAAGUGAAGUCUGAAAGAUGUGAAGAAAUGCAGUACAUUUGUACAUUGGCACAUUGCCCUGCAGAGGACUGGCAACACUCCAGAAAUGAUGGAGACAGGAUACAUCAACCUGUAUCACUGAAGAUGAUGUGGAGCAGAGCCUUUGUGGUCCUAAGAAACAUGUAUAAGAUAAAAACUUUUGUGGUUUUUCAAUCAUUUGAGGUUUUAGGAUUGUUCAUUGUAUCAACACAACUUGCCUAUUCUGACUGCUAAGGUUGUUCACUGGGUUAUUCAUAAAGGCAAAAUGAGGUUGUGAGCCACAGAAAGAGAGGACAGGAUGGUUCCAUGGUGUCCCCAGCUUAUUUUUUAUUGUUUCCUGUUUAUUGAUCUCAUCCAUUGGAGAACUCCAUGAAAGCACAUAUCUAUGCCACACUCACCACUGUAUUAUAGAACUCAAAUGUCGGUUGCAUGAAUAAAAUAUGUAACAGGAAGGCCACUAUACCUGGCCCUGACCAAUUACAAAUUUAGUUUUUCAUGAGGUUUUUUAAAGGGCAUCCAGCACACCACAGAACCCUGUGCACAACAAACUACCCCCAAAGUUAGCGGCUUAAAACACUUUCUCCCAAUUCUGAAUUCCGCUGGGUCGUUCUGCUUAGUGUAGUAUCUACUAAGUCUGGGACAUCCCAGAUAAUUUCUUCAUGCAUGUCUGGUGCUCAGUUGGCAUGUCUGAAAAAGCUGGGUUUGGCCAGACAUCUUUCUGUCCACCUAGUUUCUCCAGCAGAGUAACCAGACCUCUCUACACAGUAGCUUAGGGUGCCAAGAGCAAAUGUUCCAAGAGGGCAAGCCCUGAUGUGCAAAUCCUUAAGCCUCUGCUUGACAAAUGUCCUCUGGGCCAAAUCACAUCGGCCCAGAGUCAGUGUGGGAGAGGACUAACUACACAAGAGUGCAAAUACCAGGUAUGGUUCAUGGGGGCCCCCAGUGUUAACAGUCUACCCAAUCUGGUGAUCAUAAGGCAGACAACUGAAGUCAUGAUGCUUCGUUUUACAAAUAAAAAAGCAAAGGCUCAGAAAUGAAAUCACUUGCCCAGGAUAACACAUGUUGUAAAUGGAAAACAAAUAUUUGUUUACUGGUAAUAAGUCAAAGGCUAGUUAAGCCUUUCACUAUAUCUCAUUGCCCCUAAUCUUUAAACUCCACUUUCCUUUUCCUUAUUCUUAGCCAACUGUGAAUAUCUGUGUUCAAGAAGUUAACAAUGUAGAUAAUCCAAAAUGAAGUGUGUUUUGUAGCAUUAUCUGAGCAGUAGAUAUUAGAUGACUAAUGUAGUAUGCUCUGGAAACUCGUAACAGUUCAAAGGAAAUAAAGCCAUUUUAUAAUGAAACCACUUUAAAAAUCCUCCACUGUUUUCAUCUUCACGAGAAUGACAAAGCACCAACUUAAAGUAAACCAACUCUUUCCCCUUCUCUGAGCUUGCUGUAUUUCCUAAGAAGGAAGGAAAAAGUCA